GGCCCUGUGGCACAAUGGUAUCGCGUCUGACUCCAGAUCAGAAGGCUGGGUGUUCGAGUCACUCCGGGGUCA
This 72-nucleotide transfer RNA is filed under the name Homarus americanus (American lobster). RNAcentral describes it as "tRNA-Trp". It matches the Rfam family "tRNA". Rfam says of the family: Transfer RNA (tRNA) molecules are approximately 80 nucleotides in length. Their secondary structure includes four short double-helical elements and three loops (D, anti-codon, and T loops). Further hydrogen bonds mediate the characteristic L-shaped molecular structure. tRNAs have two regions of fundamental functional importance: the anti-codon, which is responsible for specific mRNA codon recognition, and the 3' end, to which the tRNAs corresponding amino acid is attached (by aminoacyl-tRNA synthetases). tRNAs cope with the degeneracy of the genetic code in two manners: having more than one tRNA (with a specific anti-codon) for a particular amino acid; and 'wobble' base-pairing, i.e. permitting non-standard base-pairing at the 3rd anti-codon position. Lineage: Eukaryota; Metazoa; Arthropoda; Malacostraca; Decapoda; Nephropidae. The record is from Rfam by way of RNAcentral.